GUUCCUAUGAAAUAUUUAUUUAGCAGUUAGAUAUCUGUUUAUGAAGCAGAUGCAUAUGUUCAUUUUCCUCCUCUAAUUCUAUAGACUGAAAAGUUUAUGUAUUCUCAGAAAGUUUCUGUAACAUUACAAGAGGACAUUAUGCAUUCAUGGUUCUCAUGGUUUUCUAUGUUUCCAAUAUGUCCCUUAUUCUCCCUUUUGAACUGAUUAAACCCCAAGAGAAUGAAGGAGGGUACAAGAAAGAAAUUGUUUACUCACACUUCCUUUUGUAUAUUUUUCACUCGGUACAAAAAUCUUACUAAUUUACAGAGUCCGUAUUUUUCAUCAGAAUUUCCUCAACAAACUUCUGAAACGAACAAAACACCAGGUUUUUAUUAGUGUUUUGUAUCUUCUCCAGCCAUUGAAAUACUUCCCAAUCACCUUUUUAUAACUAGGCCUCUGCUGCACCAUAAUCCAGUACUCAGCUAUAUUUGGCCUGCUACUUAUAUACUCAUCUUCCAAAUUCAACAGUACUAAGCGAGCCAGUACUGGGAUCAGCAUUGCGUCUGCCAUUGAGAACUCUUCCCCACCUAAAUAUGAUGUUUCACUCAACUUGGUUUCAACCUCCUCAAGAAGUCUAAUAAGAUGCUCUUUGCUUCGUUUCAGAACUUCUGGAUUUUUCAACUUGUCUUCAGUUUCAUAAGCUUCUUUUAGUUUACGGUGGUAAGCACUUGCUAGAUCAGGGGAUUCAGCCAUUCGAGCAAUCACCACACGCCUUAUGAAUUUGGAAACAGCAAGGCGGUAUUUCUCUGGGAUGUGAGAAAGUGUGAAAAACUUGGGGUUCCACUCUUGUAUCUUCUGCAUCCAUUCAACAACUUCUCUGUUACUAAAGGAAUUCUCAUCAGCACCUGCUGAGACAACUGCAAUUCUUUCAAUGUACCUGCAAAUUACUUUAUCACUUCAGUUCAAAGUCUUUCCUUUCUCUCUAGACCAGGUGUAUUUGGAAAAAAACAUUUUCUAUAACAGGUGGCCAUUUUAACUCUGAUGAAACAUAGAAGGGAAUGAACAUAGAGACAAUGUGUAAAUGGCUCCAAAAGAGUGAAUUUCUAAAAACCAUGUUUGAAUGUUCAAGGAGAAUAAAUAGAGGAAGAUUAGAUGGUCCUCAUGGAUCGAUCAAAUAUGAAAUUUCUUCCAAACACAACUCAGAUUUUAUGCAACAGAAACAGAAUGGCAAGAGUGAAGGAUAAGGCAUACUGGAUCAUCUCAAUGGUGUCAAAAAUGAUGUGGGCGCCAUUCUGGAAAACAGGGAGCUUUCCACUUGGAUUUUUCGUGAAGUAUGAGGAAUCCAUAUUCUUUCCUGUUAUAGGAUUGACAUGGUGCGAUGUGUAGUCUAUGCCCUUCUCUUCCAAAGCAAGUCUCACCUUCUGACUAUCCAGAGAGUAUGGAUGGUGAUAGAACUGCAUGAUUCAAUUAGCACUAGCUCAAAGGCUGUUACUAGUCGUCCGAAAAAUUGGGAAGCUUUUACGUCGUUGAACACAAUAAUAUGUGAAGAACUGCAACCAAAUCAUGACAGACAUGCGAGUCAGCAUCCUUCAUUAUCUCUCAAGAAAUUACCAAUAGCCAAUAUAUAAAGAAUAACUCAAAAGUAGAUAUUCAGUAAAAGCUAUAAAUGAAGCCAUGAGUGGCAGUACUAACAAAAUGCAGAAGUACUCAGGAUGUUAUAACCCUUGUGACAACAAAGAGCUCUGCCUACAGAAAAAUGAAAUUUUACUAGCUGUAGAUAAUUGUUCAUGAUAGUUUACAAAGAAAAAAUAAGUCAAUUUGAUUUCAUAUGUGACAAAUAUCAUUUUCUAUGAAGGAAUAAACCUUAUUGUUUGGCAAAAACUGAGACUUGUACUAGUUCAUAUGUUAGCAGAGUAAGAGUUAUAUGCAGAAAAAGGCCACUAGAAUUCACUAUGUGGAAGCAAAAUUUUGAAUUCAAGAAUUGGAGAUAUGCACGCAUGUGUGCAUAAACGCGCACAUAUUUCGAUUUCAUUGUGUUCAAAGAUUACACAAACAAAUCCUGUAUCAAUUCUAGCUUAUAAACACAAGGAAUGAACAAUCAGCAUGCUCUAUUUCCUUGAUUUAUAAGAACAGUUCCAUCACCAAGGAUAGCAAGAUCAAAUCAGCAUAAAAAAAAAUGCUUACUCAAUUACGAAAUCAUUCCCUUCUCGCAACUAACCAAAACAAACUUACAUUAUAUAUUUGUCCAAUCAAAGAAGGCAUCGAAGCUUGAAAUGCCAACAAGAAGAAUUAGCUCCUAAAAGCCCAAAAAAAAGGGGAAAAAAAAGGGGAAAAAAAAAAGUCAUAGAGCCAGACCCCAUCAAAAGCCAAUUGACAACACCAUUCAGUUCAAAAACUACACAACACGACUAAUCUAUCAAACCCAGAUUCGUGAAAAACAUGCCUUUGGUUAAAAAAUUCAAUUUUUACAUGUGAAUUCACAAAACAAGAAGCAACCCAGAUCACAUACAAUGCCAAACCAUGCAAAACUUGAAGAAUUACAGCUCAAAUUGAAAAGAAACAAGGUCUCAAGGGGAAACCAAAAUUGAAAAAGAGCAGUCCACUCCUAAUUAUAAAGGAGCAAAAAAAGGUGAAACCUUUUCAACUAAAUACGGCAGGGAAAUUCACAAGGAUAUAGACCCAAAUCAAGAAAAUAGACCAAAUGAGAAAUUAUGACAACUGAAAAGAGGGGAGUAUUGACUGAGACUUACCCAGAAGAGAAGAGAGGAAAUUUCUUGCCUUUUUUUUUUUUAAGAUUUGUGCGUGUGCACAGAAAAGAAUGGCAACAUUUGCCGCGCUUAAAAGGGAAUAAUGAGGAAAAAAAUAUAGAGUUUU
RNAcentral lists this unclassified non-coding RNA (2853 nucleotides) under Hevea brasiliensis (rubber tree). The record is from RNAcentral. Lineage: Eukaryota; Viridiplantae; Streptophyta; Magnoliopsida; Malpighiales; Euphorbiaceae.